CUCUCCUCUGGCAUGAAGGCGCGGCUGAGAGGCACGAACAGUUUCUGGCCUUCCCCUGCCAAUGCCAAAGGAGAGCACGCACAGUUUCCAGAUACUGGUGGUGUUUUCAGUGGAUCGUUGUCGAGUGUGCACUAAGCGAACGAAGGUUAUAUAUAUCCAUGGAUGUGGUUAUUAUACAUCUUUCUCUGCAUCUUACAUUUCACGCCUCCGCCAUCUAGACAAUGUCGUCUAACUACCUGCCACAAGAACAAGGUAAAAGUGUAACUAACACUAUUUUUCAAAACCACGGUUUAUAAUACCACAGUUUACGAAUGCUAUGACACAACCAUGAUAUAUUUUACAUCAGCAUAAUCCAACA
Molecule: long non-coding RNA, 358 nt
Filed under: Zea mays
Lineage: Eukaryota; Viridiplantae; Streptophyta; Magnoliopsida; Poales; Poaceae
Description: drought responsive lncRNA
Source: RNAcentral